Long non-coding RNA from Mya arenaria, 870 nucleotides. RefSeq lists it as uncharacterized. Lineage: Eukaryota; Metazoa; Mollusca; Bivalvia; Myida; Myidae. The transcript is spliced from 5 exons. The record is from RefSeq and is a predicted model, not a curated record.
CAAGCAUAGAACAAUUUAAGAAAUAAAGCAGAACAUGCUUUACUGAAGGUAAACAACCAUAGAAUUGUCAAUAAUGCAGAGACAUGAGGAAGAUUGGAAAAUAUUGGUACAGUUAUGUGACACAAACACAGUAUGUACUCAUGGCAAAAUGGUGUUCGAGAGGUGGCGAAUAAGGAUUUGCUUGCAAAAUUGAAGAACGAUAACCUCGUUUCCGCAAAACACCCUACGCUCGGGUCGGAAUGAACCUAUCUUACACUCUCGGCCAUGGAAGAUACUUAUAAUCUGAGGUGGAAGAAAAGGUACCGUAUAAUGUGGAAAUAUCGAAGUUGCAGAGAGCGGACAACUGCAAACUGAGAUUCUGAAAAAGAGGAAUAAAGGCGAUCAUAGGGGAGGUGUAUCUUUACGUCGCCAUGGGAAUAGUGUUUUAAUCAGAUGAUGAUGAAAAAAUGUCAGUGACAACACCACGAAAGCCUUUAAAUGUGACAGUGGCAAUGUCAGGACUGCUCUGCAAGUAUCACAACAUUAGCUACAAGAUCCCCUAACAGUUGCACCAUACAUGUGUAUCUACAGAGGCUGUCGUGAAAUUCCGUCGUUUCUCACGGGAGAGGUACGAGAGACAUAUGCCGCCUGAAUGAGAACAGCAUCGGAAAGUGAUGGUGGAAGGGAAAUCCUUGGAACACCGGGAUGAAAAAACAAAACAAUAUUAUGUUAAAAACCCUUAAUGUUUAGUGCAGGAGCUUUACCUUAAGUAGUGUUCAAUGAAAUAACUAUUAUUUCAAGACUUAUUUUGUUUGUUUAUUUUUACAGUGACAGUCUGUGUGUAUUAUGGCAUGUCUGUGUAUCAUAACUUGUACAUUUUGAUAAAACUGC